AACGAACGCUGGCGGCAGGCUUAACACAUGCAAGUCGAACGCAUGCCUUCGGGCAUGAGUGGCAGACGGGUGAGUAACGCGUGGGAACCUACCCCUUGGUACGGGAUAGCUCCGGGAAACUGGAGAUAAUACCGUAUGUGUCCUGAGGGACAAAGAUUCAUCGCCAAGGGAUGGGCCCGCGUCGGAUUAGCUAGUUGGUGGGGUAACGGCCUACCAAGGCGACGAUCCGUAGCUGGUCUAAGAGGAUGAUCAGCCACAUUGGGACUGAGACACGGCCCAAACACCGAGGGGUGGCGGGAGGGGGGAAUUGGGAACAGUGGGGGCAGGCCGGAGGCGUGCAGGGGGGGGGGGUGAUGAUGGCAUGUGUGUUGAAAAGCUCUUCCCGCGGGGACGGUAAAGACGGGACCGGGAGAAGAGGCCUCGGCUACUUCGGGACCAGAAGCGGCGUAAAGAGUCGGGGAGAACACGUCGAAAC
RNAcentral lists this ribosomal RNA (475 nucleotides) under uncultured bacterium. RNAcentral describes it as "partial 16S ribosomal RNA". It matches the Rfam family "Bacterial small subunit ribosomal RNA", at positions 30 to 543 of the family's 1533-position model. The record is from RNAcentral.